Molecule: transfer RNA, 96 nt
Filed under: Achromobacter xylosoxidans
Lineage: Bacteria; Pseudomonadati; Pseudomonadota; Betaproteobacteria; Burkholderiales; Alcaligenaceae
Also listed under: 6 other names
Description: tRNA-SeC
Rfam family: Selenocysteine transfer RNA
Source: RNAcentral
GGAAGGCAUCCGUGCCCGGUGGCACGGCCGGGCUUCAAACCCGGUUGGGGACGUCAGACGUUCCCAGGUAGGUUCGACUCCUGCUGCCUUCCGCCA